Lentinula lateritia is the source of this 81-nucleotide non-coding RNA. The record is from the annotation of a GenBank genome assembly. NCBI's taxonomy places the organism in Eukaryota, Fungi, Basidiomycota, Agaricomycetes, Agaricales, Omphalotaceae.
GGCCGCCUGGCGAAAUGGCAUCGCGUCUGACUACGAUGAGUGGUAAUCAGGAGAUUGCAGGUUCGACCCCUGCGGUGGUCA